GGCCCGCUUCGGCCAUCUCUCCAUCCCGCUUUCCCUCGGCUUGCGACUGUGCGCUCAAUCCAGCACCAUGGGGAAGCGGGACAAUCGGGUGGCCUAUAUGAACCCAAUAGCAAUGGCGAGAGCAAGGGGUCCAGUCCAGUCUUCAGGGCCAACAAUCCAGGAUUAUCUGAAUUGAACAAGGCCUACCUGGGAAGAAGUAAAAGAGCAACUAGAAAACAAAAAGAAAGGCUCCAAGGCUUUGGCUAAAUUUGAAGAAAAAAUGAAUAAGAAUUGGAAGAAAGAACUGGAAAAACACAGGGAGAAAUUAUUAAGUGGAAGUGAGAGCUCAUCCAAAAGAAGACAGAGAAAGAAAAAAGAAAAGAAGAAAUCUGAUAGGCAUUCAUCUUCUUCUUCAUCAAGUUCUGAUUCUUCCAGCAGUUCUUCUGAUUCUGAAGAUGAGGAUAAGAAACAAGGAAAAUGGAGAAAGAAAAAGAAGAACCGUUCACAUAAAUCUUCUGAAAGCUCCAUGUCAGAAACUGAAUCAGAAGUAAGAAUAGUUUAAAAAAGAAAAAGAAGUCAAAAGAUGAACUGAGAAAGAAAAGUAUAUUAAAGGACUCAGCAAAAAGAGAAAGAUGUAUUCUGAAGAUAAACCUUUAUCAUCUGAGUCCUUGUCACAAUCAGAGUAUAUUGAGGAGGUGCGAGCAAAAAAGAAGAAAAGCAGUGAAGAACGAGAAAAAGCAACAGAAAAAACAAAAAAGAAAAAGAAGCAUAAGAAACACAGUAAGAAGAAGAAAAAGAAGGCUGCUAGUUCAAGUCCUGACUCACCAUAACACUAAGAAAAAUCAGGAUUCCCUUAUAAAGAAAGUGCAAUGUCUGAGGAAAUUUCAACUGUGAAAACUACAACAUAUUUACGAAAAUGCAUGAAUUUUCUUGUUUUUAGAAUUAUUCCUGGACUAUUCAGUAGCCACUCAGAUGCCACUGUGUGAAAGGGCCAUAAAUGUUGCC
Chlorocebus sabaeus (green monkey) is the source of this 984-nucleotide non-coding RNA. The record is from RefSeq and is a predicted model, not a curated record. NCBI's taxonomy places the organism in Eukaryota, Metazoa, Chordata, Mammalia, Primates, Cercopithecidae.